CGGACUACAGGGGUUUCUAAUCCUGUUUGAUACCCACACUUUCGAGCAUGAACGUCAGUUACGGAUUAGUGUGCUGCCUUCGCAAUCGGAGUUCUUCGUGAUAUCUAAGCAUUUCACCGCUACACCACGAAUUCCGCACACCUCAACUGCACUCAAGACAUCCAGUAUCAACUGCAAUUUUACGGUUGAGCCGCAAACUUUCACAACUGACUUAAACAUCCAUCUACGCUCCCUUUAAACCCAAUAAAUCCGGAUAACGCUCGGAUCCUCCGUAUUACCGCGGCUGCUGGCACGGAGUUAGCCGAUCCUUAUUCAUACGGUACAUACAAAAAGGCACACGUGCCUAACUUUAUUCCCGUAUAAAAGAAGUUUACAACCCAUAGGGCAGUCAUCCUUCACG
This 400-nucleotide unclassified non-coding RNA is filed under the name uncultured fungus. RNAcentral's name for it is "sequence contains ITS1". Lineage: Eukaryota; Fungi. The record is from RNAcentral.